AGUGGACGCUGGCGGUAGGCCUAACACAUGCCAGUCGAACGGCAGCACAGUAAGAGCUUGCUCUUACGGGUGGCGAGUGGCGGACGGGUGAGGAAUACAUCGGAAUCUACUUUUUCGUGGGGGAUAACGUAGGGAAACUUACGCUAAUACCGCAUACGACCUACGGGUGAAAGCAGGGGAUCUUCGGACCUUGCGCGAUUGAAUGAGCCGAUGUCGGAUUAGCUAGUUGGCGGGGUAAAGGCCCACCAAGGCGACGAUCCGUAGCUGGUCUGAGAGGAUGAUCAGCCACACUGGAAGUGAGACACGGUCCAGACUCCUACGGGAGGCAGCAGUGGGGAAUAUUGGACAAUGGGCGAAAGCCUGAUCCAGCCAUACCGCGUGGGUGAAGAAGGCCUUCGGGUUGUAAAGCCAUUUUGUUGGGAAAGAAAAGCAGCAGGUUAAUACCCCGCUGUUCUGACGGUACCCAAAGAAUAAGCACCGGCUAACUUCGUG
This 492-nucleotide ribosomal RNA is filed under the name uncultured bacterium. RNAcentral describes it as "partial 16S ribosomal RNA". It matches the Rfam family "Bacterial small subunit ribosomal RNA", at positions 29 to 507 of the family's 1533-position model. The record is from RNAcentral.